This 397-nucleotide long non-coding RNA is filed under the name Pan troglodytes (chimpanzee). RNAcentral describes it as "long non-coding RNA NONPTRT007728". Lineage: Eukaryota; Metazoa; Chordata; Mammalia; Primates; Hominidae. The record is from RNAcentral.
GGAAAGUCUUUGCACUAAUGUCAAUCUGCAUGUGUAUAGGAAUUUAAAAUUGAUGCAAACUCAUGAUUGUACACGAGACGUUGCAUUGGGGGCCUAUGAGUGUUUUAUGAGGAGACGCUUUCUUGGUGAGAAGCCGGAUGCUCAGAAGGCUGCUGGAAGGAAAUACUUCGUGUCUGUUCAUAUCCUUCACCCACUUUUUGAUGGGGUUGUUUGUUUUUUUUCUUGUAAAUUUGUUUGAGUUCUUUGUAGAUUCUGGAUAUUAGCCCUUUGUCAGAUGAAUAGGUUGCAAAAAUUUUCUCCCAUUGUGUAGGUUGCCUGUUCACUCUGAUGGUAGUUUCUUUUGCUGUGCAGAAGCUCUUUAGUUUAAUUAGUGGAUCUUUUUUUAAGGGAAUAAAAA